RNAcentral lists this ribosomal RNA (457 nucleotides) under uncultured bacterium. Its description in RNAcentral is "partial 16S ribosomal RNA". It matches the Rfam family "Bacterial small subunit ribosomal RNA", at positions 338 to 795 of the family's 1533-position model. The record is from RNAcentral.
CCUACGGGAGGCAGCAGUGGGGAAUAUUGCACAAUGGGGGAAACCCUGAUGCAGCGACGCCGCGUGAGUGAAGAAGUAUCUCGGUAUGUUAAGCUCUAUCAGUAGGGAAGAAAUAUAGUCCUUUAGACCUUGAACGGUACCUGACUAAGAAGCCCCGGCUAACUACGUGCCAGCAGCCGCGGUAAUACGGAGGGGGCAGGCGUUAUCCGGAUUUACUGGGGGUAAAGGGAGCUUAGACGGCAGCGUAAGUCUGGAGUGAAAUGCCCUGGCUUAACCAUCGAACUGCUGUGGAAACUGUGCAGCUAGAGUGAUGGAGAGGGAAGCGGAAUUCGCAGUGUAGCGGUGAAAUGCGUAGAUAUUGGGAGGAACACUCGUGGCGAAGGCGGCUUACUGGACUGUAACUGACGCUGAGGCACGAAAGCGUGGGGAGCGAACAGGAUUAGAUACCCCUGUAGUC